Helianthus annuus (common sunflower) is the source of this 1125-nucleotide long non-coding RNA. RefSeq lists it as uncharacterized. The transcript has 2 exons. Lineage: Eukaryota; Viridiplantae; Streptophyta; Magnoliopsida; Asterales; Asteraceae. The record is from RefSeq and is a predicted model, not a curated record.
ACGGGGUUCAAUGUUUGCUUUAGAUGGGGUUGAAGUAACAACACCAUCUUAAAGUCAAUAACUAUAUAAAAUAUUCAAGAAAAUUCAAGCUAACCCCGUCUUUUACUCAAACUCCGUCUUAUAAGAAUUCAAGAAACCAUUAGACGGGGUUAUCACUAAACCGUAUCUAUAUACUCUUAAAAAAACCAUGAUUCUUUAUCCUCUCUCCCACAACAACCUUCAUUUCCUUCUCUGUAUUCUCUGUGUAUUCCACUCCGUCCACCUCCGAUCCACUUCUGUCCCACCCUUUUUGACUACCGACCCCAAUUGCAGCCACCAUCGUUUGCAGCCACCGCCUCCACUCGCAACCUUUCAAUUUUCCAGUGUCUCGGUUUCGGUCUGUAUGUCAUAGAUAAGGAAAGUUUAAUGAAACCUAGCUGAGUUUCUAGCGGUUUCUCAUAUGUUAUUCCAGUGACUUAAGUUAGGUACAUGAUUGUGGAUAUGCUAACCUGUCAUUCUCGUGGCUGUGGUGGUGUUUCACGGCGGUUAAGCCGACUGCCGGUAGUCGGAGCAGUGGAGAUGACCUGCAGCCACCUGGCAUUAACGUUGUGGGUGGUGGUUUCCGCCCAGCAACUGCCAAACGGGCAAGGUAACAUUGCUCGAACAAUAUGCUGCUCGCGUGCUUGGUCUUCUAGGCCAAUCUCCUAUUAGCUCCAUUCAAUAUGUUGGAUAUGUUACAGUGAUUGAAAGCAAUGGUAGAGCACUGUUUUAUUGGGUUUUUAAGCCGUAAAAAGACCAAAAAGAAACCUCUUCUUCUAUGGUUGAUGGAGGUAACAAUCAAUACCCUUUGAAUUGACCUUCAUCCGCUUAUGAUAUUUAUGUUAUAGAAUUUAAUUGAAUUUUACUUCUGUUGUAGAGCUAACUUUGAGUUCCUUUAGGUGACAUUUCAAUCAUGUAUAGAUAAAGUCUUGUUGUAUUCAAAUUUAAAUAUGUUUCUUUUUUUUUCUUUAAAUUAUAUGUCAAUGCUAAAUAAGGCUUUGUCAUGAUGUUAUCUUUUUGUUAUACAAUAUUUCUUAUAUGUAAUUAACCUUGAUUCUUUUGUAACAUAAUCUUUUUGUGUUGUAAUAUACAUAUUUUUUUAAUUUA